Molecule: long non-coding RNA, 1406 nt
Organism: Halichondria panicea
Lineage: Eukaryota; Metazoa; Porifera; Demospongiae; Suberitida; Halichondriidae
Exons: 5
Source: RefSeq, a predicted model, not a curated record
AACUAUGAGAUCCCUACUGCUGCUACUGAUAACGAUAACCUUGUUUCAAAGAUAUAGCUGUGUGCACCGCUACAUACCACGCCAUGAUGAUUGCAAUCAAACAGGUGAGCUUAGACUGGACAACCAGAGAACAAUGAACACUACAGCAGGAGCAGUACAAGUCUGUACAGCAUGGUCAAGUGGAGGGCAACAGUGGAGAUAUAUCAGUGCUGAUUAUUGGACAAACACAACAGUCAAAAAAGCAUGCCAGCAACUUGGUCUGGGGUACACAAGUGUAACUCUACUGGCAGUACUUCUGAAGGACACAACAGACAACAGACAACUUAGAGAUUGCUGCUGUAUUGAGCAGGCUAAUCAGGUUUCAGACUGUAUAAUUUCUAACACUUCUCUUUCGAAUUCAGUAAUACAACUCAAUUGUGGGGAUGACUGCAAAGAAAAUAGUACACGGUUAGUAAACGGACCGUCAAGCAGAAAUGGAACAGUUGAAAUAUGUCUCUCAAACCAAUGGAGAAGAGUUUGCAGCCAAGUAGCUGCGUUAAAUGAAAAUGCUGAAGUGGUUUGUAGACAAUUGGGAUAUCCAGUCAAUGGUGAAAACAUACAUUUUUCUAUUGAUUUAAUCAGCUUUAACAGGUGCUACCGGGAAAAAUGAGGAUCAAAAUGUGAUAACCAGGGAGACCCCAGUAAAUGAAUGUUAUUCUUGCAAAGGAAACGAGCUUUAUCUUGGUGAAUGCUUGCAACAAGGAAAUCAAUAUUGUACAUUUAGAGUGGGAUGCAGAUCACAUGAGCAAGUAGUUCGUGAUAAUGGAACAAUAUCUACGGACAAUGGCGGAAGCUGCUCAACAAACGUGUGUAACUGUGAGACUGACUGUCGACCAGAACCUGCAACUAUAACAAUGGAUACUACAAAUGAGCAGAGGCAGCUAUUCACUGACCAAUCAGACACUAUAAGCCCUUGGGUCACAACAGGAGUAUUGGCUCUAGUGCUACAAGUUACCAUCAUUGGGUGGAUUGUGUCAUGCAUCUACUUGCACAAAAAGCAAAAGAAAGGGCACCCUGAUCAAACACUGAGCAGCAGAGAUGAGCAAUCUCUCAACAACCCAGUGUAUGAUGGUAGCACUGUUCCACACACCACGUACAGCUCUCAUGGACCCUCCUAUGAGGUCAUUGACACUAAUGAGGGGGCGGGGCACAACUAUGAUGUCAUCAGUCAUAUGGGCGGGACCAGGCCACACCCACCUACCACACCUCCUGUGUCCAACGAGGAGUACAGUACGCUAGACACUAGCAGAGAGAAUCAUUAUCACACACUAGAGAGGGGUGGUCAAUAUCAGACUGAUUACGAGGUGCCCGCCCCCCCUCAGGGGGAAGAGUACUCUACACUGAAGCAUUGAUAGCCUACGUACUAA